This 150-nucleotide non-coding RNA is filed under the name Pan troglodytes (chimpanzee). The record is from Rfam by way of RNAcentral. Lineage: Eukaryota; Metazoa; Chordata; Mammalia; Primates; Hominidae.
GCUGGGCACCGUGGCGGGUGCCUGUAAUCCCAGCUACUUGGGAGGCUGAGGCAGGAGAAUGGCUUGAACCCAGGAGGCGAGGAGGUUGCAGUGACCCGAGAAUACGCCACUGCACUCCAGCCUGGGUUACAGAGUGAGACUCUUUUUUUU